UGUUCCUACGGGGCGCAGCAGUAGGGAAUAUUGCUCAAUGGGGGAAACCCUGAAGCAGCAACGCCGCGUGGAGGAUGAAGGUUUUAGGAUUGUAAACUCCUUUUGUAAGAGAAGAUUAUGAUGGUAUCUUACGAAUAAGCACCGGCUAACUCCGUGCCGGCAGCCGCGGCAAUACGGAGGGUGCAAGCGUUACUCGGGAUCACUGGGCGUAAAGAGCGCGUAGGCGGGUGGUCAAGUCAGAUGUGAAAUCCUGUAGCUUAACUACAGAACUGCAUUUGAAACUGAUCAUCUGGAGUAUGGGAGAG
This 305-nucleotide ribosomal RNA is filed under the name uncultured bacterium. Its description in RNAcentral is "bacterial SSU rRNA". It matches the Rfam family "Bacterial small subunit ribosomal RNA", at positions 334 to 656 of the family's 1533-position model. The record is from RNAcentral.